GAAUUCCCUUGCCUGGCCUUUUAAUUACAACCCUGCUGGGAAUGACUCCUUGAUGGCACGACCUCAGGGCCAGGCUUGCAAGAACCACUCCUGGGUCCAGGAACCCCGUUGAGGCAGACUUAGACCCUCUGAUCCCCCAACUCCCAUGUAUGCUGGACAAGGCUUCACAGAGGAAGCACCCGCGGGGGGAGGGGCGAGGGAGCAGGGAUUGGCAUUGGUCCCGACGAUGUGUGACAAACACUGGGCCGUGUGUGUUUGCUUUCUUUAUGACCAAGGGUGCUGGCGGGGGGAGGCUUUGGGACUCAGGAUUGCUUCCUCGGUGAACCAGGCUGCCAGGGAGGGGCUGGCUCUGUGGCUGGUGGGGCGGACCCGGUCCACUCCCCUCGGGGUCCCUUCAUUUCUAGAAGGAGUGUCCGGCCUCACCCUUGUGACAGGCACUGCUCUUCCAGGACAAGGCUUUUCUGAACUGAUUCCAACUUUAGAAAAGCAAGACUGGUGCUGGCGGGACGUCGUGGAACACAGAACGAGGGGCCGCGGAGGGCGCGCCUUGUUUCUGAAGCACAGCACCCGUCCCGUUUGUCCUCAGUACCCGCUCUGUGCAGGAGGACCUCCUGGGUGUGAUGGCAGCCUUGCAGGAGGGCAUAGCAUUGUUUUGCCCGUGUGUCACCAGGAGGGCUUCCUGGAGGGAACAGCUUUGGGCAGAGGGUGGCCUUGCCGCCCUGAAGGAAUGUUAUGGCCAUCUGACGUUUACGUGUGGCUGAGGCAUGAGACCCCGCCUGGCUUUGGGGGACCACCGCAUCUUGGAGUGUUGCUGGUUCCCUUUCUUCAUGGCGAAUAUACAGAGGGAGACUCUUACUUGCGUAUCAAACUCUGA
Molecule: long non-coding RNA, 874 nt
Filed under: Sus scrofa (pig)
Lineage: Eukaryota; Metazoa; Chordata; Mammalia; Artiodactyla; Suidae
Description: lncRNA (ENSSSCG00055018550.1)
Source: RNAcentral